Molecule: long non-coding RNA, 3142 nt
Organism: Malaclemys terrapin pileata
Lineage: Eukaryota; Metazoa; Chordata; Testudines; Emydidae
Exons: 5
Source: RefSeq, a predicted model, not a curated record
UUAACCAGGAGAUCUUCAAUGAUCUGAAACUCAAAAGAGUCCUACAAAAAGUGGAAACUAAGUCAAAUCAUGAAGGAUGAAUACAAACAUCCUGGAAUAUAAACAGCACAAGCAUGUAGGGACAAAAUUAGAAGGGCCAAAGCACAAAAUGAAAUUAAACUAGCUAGAGACAAACGGGAACGAGAAAACAUCCUACAAAUACUUUAGAAGCAGGAGAAAGGACAAGGAAGUCCCAUUACUCAAUGAUGGGGGAAAGACAAUAACAGAAAAUGUGGAAAUGGAAGAAGUGCUAAAUGACAUUUUUGUUUCAGUUUUCACCAAGAAGGUUAGUAGUAAUUGGACACGUUAACAUACUGAAUGCCAGUGAAAAUGUGUAGGAUCUGAGGCUAAAAUCGGGAGAGAACAAAUUAAAAAUUACAUUAGACAAAUUGGAUGUCUUCAAGUUGGCAGCACCUGAUGAAAUACAUCCUAGAAUACUCAAGGAGCUGUCUGAGGAGAUAUGAGCCAUUAGCGAUAAUCGUUGAAAACUCAUGGAAGACGGGAGAGAUUCCAGAGGACUGGAAGAGGGCAAAUAUAGUGCUAAUCUAUAAAAAAAAAAUGGGGAUAAGGGCAACCUGGGGAAUUACAGAUCAGUCAGCUUAAUUUCAGUGCCCGAAAAGAUAAUGGAACAAAUAAUCAAUCAAUUUGCAAAUACCUAGAAGAUAAUAAGGUGAUAAGUAACAGUCAACAUGGAUUUGUCAAGAUCAUGUCAGGCCAACCUGUUACAGGAUGUUGUGUAGUAACAGACUCGAUGGGCUUAUAACAGUUUUAAUUUAGUUGUUUUGCAGGACCCCUGCCCCUAUAGACAGAUGCUUGAAGGAUAAAAGAUCCUAUCAUCUGGUGUCGCUUAAAAUAAAAUAGGGAGGUAAUGAUAAGGAUGCAAAGCAGGUAAGUAAUUUAUUGAAGGUAAGAUACGGUAAUGGGAGAGGGGGAAGCAAUGUAUAUAAAACAGAACAAACUGAAUAUAUAACAGCUCCGUGAUUUAUAUCCCAAGGUAGGCUUGAAGCCCAGACCCCACCAAUUACCUUAACAGACUACAGGCCUAUGAAUAACGAUUAAUGUUACUUUCAGAUGGAUGACACCGAGACACAAAACGGACGGCGUGUCAACUCAGUCUGCCUCAGCUUCAGCGGGAUGGAUCCGGACCUUCUACUGUGAUGUUGGACUCUCACAGGAGGAACUCGGAUCAGACAUGAUGUUACUCAGUCUUGUUUCGCCACUGCACUGAUGCAGGGGAGAUGGAAGAAGUACAGAGGACAGCAGACAGCGUAUGUAUGCAAACAUUAGGAGAACUGGUCAGAUGACAUGGACUCCAGUGCCAGCAAUAUGCAGGCCAGCCCUGCUCCUACAUCAUAUACAGCCACAUUACUACCACCAGGAUGGCUCGGUGCAUGGAAGAAAUGAGCUCAUGGAUGAAGAACAGUUGGCUGAAGCUGAACUUAAACAAGACAGAUGCAGCAAUGCGAUGUACCUGAGCAUGAAGCCUUCAAAGCUAAGGAAAUUCCAGCUAGUACAGAAUGCUGCAGCACGUCUCUUCAUCAACAUGGGCUACCGCCAACACAUCAAACCUGUCCUCCACUCCCUAUCCUGGCUUCCCAUGGAAUUUCAAAUCAAGUUCAAGGUCUUGAUCCUUACCUCAGGGUGCUCCAUGGCCUGUCCCAGGAUAUCUAGAGGCUGACUAAUGCUCUGGAAUGAAAAUGGUGUUUGACAACUUUGCUCCUCUGGCACAGUGGAACCCCCCACAAUAAGAGUAAAGUUCGUUCCUGUGAGAUAGAACUUUUCAGGAAGACUGUACAAGGAGCUCUCUCAAAGACGGUACAAGGAGCUCCCUCAAGAAGAAACUGGGACUGACCUUGCAAUCUUUGCUCAUGCCAGGGUCUGUCUAUCAUUACAGCUUGUCAGAUAAUAGUCAGUAAAUAAUUUAUUUGAAGAAUUUUCCAAUAAAUGAUUUUGCAAAUAUUUUUUCCAAUGUAGAGAGCUGGGUAAAAAUAAUAAAUCAGUCCUGAAUAUUUGAGUUUCACAACAUUUUUGGAAUAAAGAAUUCUCAAGUAGUAUUUGUCAUUAGUCACCCAUCUCUAGUGUUCAUAGGAACUAUGAACUAGAAUCACUAGGAACUAGAAUAAAAUUAAGGAAUGCAAAUGAUUGAAUCAAAGACAACUCUGCUAUUUAUUGCCUGCCACCUCUCUCUCCUACACAUACAGUUGCUCCAAUCCGCUCUCCAAUGGCCCUCUCCCUGCUGGUUCAGCAGCUCCAAGAUGUUCUAAAGGUGGCCCAUAAUGAAUAAAUGAACCAAAUUUCAACAUUCUAGUUCAAAGGGUACUUGGAUAUUUGAAGUCCCAUAAGAAAGAUGUUUUGGUGACCUUUCAUGGAAAGAUCAAUUUCAGGGCAUAGUUAAUCCACCUCCAUGAGAGGCAGUAGCUAUGUCGAUGGGAGAGGCUGUCUCGCUGACAUAGUGCUGUCUAUGCGGGGGUUAGGUCAGUAUAACUCCAUCGCUCAGGUUUGUGGCUGUUUUACACCGCCGAGAGACAUAGCUAUACCAAUAUAGGUCUGUAGUGCAGACCAGACCUCAGGUUUUUUCCUGUGCUUUAAUGGCCCUUGGCAUUACAAAUUCCAGGUGUUCUAAAAUCAUGAGUCAGGGCCCCAAAAUCAUAAGAGUGAAUUAAAAAUCAUGAGAUUUUUAAACAAUACACUUUGGGUUCUUUUUCUUCUUUGGCUGCUUCCUGACGUGUUAGUAGCCCCUGGGUCACAUUUUCAAGAUUUCUUUGCAACCAUGAGGACUAGAAACUUACUUUUUAAAAAAUUGAAAGCUGUGAUUCUCACUAAAUCAAAUGUCUCCAGAAGCUGGGUCUUUAAAUAAAACACCAAAUAUCACAAACCCCAUGAUCAAAUAGCAAGAGUUGGCAACACUAGUAAUGAAUAAGUGGGUAAAACAUACAAUGGAAACAUGGAAAUUAACUGUGUCAGUAAGUCAUCCUUUCUGUAUUUUGCUAGCUAUUUCUUAGGCCUAGUCUACACUUAAAAAGUUUUACCAGACUAGCUGUAUCUGUUAUGGGAGUGAUUUUUUUUUUUUUUACCAACAUAGCUAUGCCAGUAAAAGUUCUAG